Molecule: small nuclear RNA, 107 nt
Organism: Octodon degus (degu)
Lineage: Eukaryota; Metazoa; Chordata; Mammalia; Rodentia; Octodontidae
Source: Ensembl
GUGCUCCUUUCAGCAGCACAUACACUAAAAUUGGAAUGAAACAGAGAAGAUUAGCACGGCCCCUGUGCAAGGAUGACACGCACAUUCAUGAAGCAUUCCAUAUUUUU